AUUACACUAGCUCCUUCUUUCCUGUGGAUAACUCUGGUUAUGGAGCAGAAGGUCAAACAGAUUGUGGUGGAACACUUCAUAACUUUGCCUUCACAUCAGCCUUACGAUGUGGUAUAACCUUCAGUGGGUCAGAGGUCAUAACCUUGGGUGGUGGAGAAGAACUAUGGUUAUUUAUAAACAAGAUACUGGUCGUUGAAAUUGUGAAAAAUAGGACAACUUCUGAUGUACCUUGCCAGAAAAUUGAUUUGUCAGCAGCAAUAGGAGGAGGCUAUGUUAUACCAGAAGAAGGUGUUUUAAUAAAUGGAGAUUGUGUUGGGUUAUCUCCCCUUGCAAGUGCAACUGUAUAUGUUGAACUAGUGAUAGGAGACACAUACCCAUUUGAAAUUUUCCAUACAGAGAGACAUCCUUGUACAUCAGAGUUGUUUAUACAGUUUGAGAAUGUAGAUCUAUUAGAGAAUGGAUCAUUGCCAUUUAAUUAUCAUC
Mytilus trossulus (common blue mussel) is the source of this 483-nucleotide long non-coding RNA. RefSeq lists it as uncharacterized. The record is from RefSeq and is a predicted model, not a curated record. The transcript has 4 exons. NCBI's taxonomy places the organism in Eukaryota, Metazoa, Mollusca, Bivalvia, Mytilida, Mytilidae.